RNAcentral lists this transfer RNA (87 nucleotides) under Candidatus Dadabacteria bacterium. RNAcentral's name for it is "tRNA-Leu". It matches the Rfam family "tRNA". Rfam says of the family: Transfer RNA (tRNA) molecules are approximately 80 nucleotides in length. Their secondary structure includes four short double-helical elements and three loops (D, anti-codon, and T loops). Further hydrogen bonds mediate the characteristic L-shaped molecular structure. tRNAs have two regions of fundamental functional importance: the anti-codon, which is responsible for specific mRNA codon recognition, and the 3' end, to which the tRNAs corresponding amino acid is attached (by aminoacyl-tRNA synthetases). tRNAs cope with the degeneracy of the genetic code in two manners: having more than one tRNA (with a specific anti-codon) for a particular amino acid; and 'wobble' base-pairing, i.e. permitting non-standard base-pairing at the 3rd anti-codon position. The record is from RNAcentral. Lineage: Bacteria; Pseudomonadati; Thermodesulfobacteriota; Candidatus Dadabacteria.
GCCGGGAUGGUGGAACUGGUAGACACACAGGACUUAAAAUCCUGUGGGGUAAUAAACCCCGUGCGGGUUCGAGUCCCGCUCCCGGCA